Molecule: ribosomal RNA, 402 nt
Filed under: uncultured bacterium
Lineage: Bacteria
Description: bacterial SSU rRNA
Rfam family: Bacterial small subunit ribosomal RNA
Source: RNAcentral
UGGGGAAUAUUGGACAAUGGGCGAAAGCCUGAUCCAGCAAUGCCGCGUGGGUGAAGAAGGUCUUCGGAUUGUAAAGCCCUUUCGGCGGGGACGAUGAUGACGGUACCCGCAGAAGAAGCCCCGGCUAACUUCGUGCCAGCAGCCGCGGUAAUACGAAGGGGGCUAGCGUUGCUCGGAAUGACUGGGCGUAAAGGGCGCGUAGGCGGCGCACUUAGUCGGGCGUGAAAGUCCUGGGCUCAACCUGGGGACGGCGCUCGAUACGGGUGUGCUUGAGUGUGGAAGAGGGUUGUGGAAUUCCCAGUGUAGAGGUGAAAUUCGUAGAUAUCCGGAGGAACACCGGUGGCGAAGGCGGCCACCUGGACAGGUACUGACGCUGAGGCGCGAAAGCGUGGGGAGCAAACA